GACGAACGCUGGCGGCGUGCUUAACACAUGCAAGUCGAACGGAAAGGCCCUGCUUGCAGGGUGCUCGAGUGGCGAACGGGUGAGUAACACGUGGGUGAUCUGCCCCUUACUUUGGGAUAAGCCUGGGAAACUGGGUCUAAUACUGGAUAGGACCAUGCUGUAGGUGGUGUGGUGGAAAGAUUAGUUUCGGUAAGGGAUGAGCUCGCGGCCUAUCAGCUUGUUGGUGGGGUAAUGGCCUACCAAGGCGUCGACGGGUAGCCGGCCUGAGAGGGUGGACGGCCACAUUGGGACUGAGAUACGGCCCAGACUCCUACGGGAGGCAGCAGUGGGGAAUAUUGCACAAUGGGCGCAAGCCUGAUGCAGCGACGCCGCGUGGGGGAUGACGGCCUUCGGGUUGUAAACUCCUUUCAGCCAUGACGAAGCCCUUGUGGUGACGGUAGUGGUAGAAGAAGCACCGGCUAACUACAUG
Molecule: ribosomal RNA, 469 nt
Filed under: uncultured bacterium
Lineage: Bacteria
Description: partial 16S ribosomal RNA
Rfam family: Bacterial small subunit ribosomal RNA
Source: RNAcentral